Molecule: transfer RNA, 88 nt
Rfam family: tRNA
About the family: Transfer RNA (tRNA) molecules are approximately 80 nucleotides in length. Their secondary structure includes four short double-helical elements and three loops (D, anti-codon, and T loops). Further hydrogen bonds mediate the characteristic L-shaped molecular structure. tRNAs have two regions of fundamental functional importance: the anti-codon, which is responsible for specific mRNA codon recognition, and the 3' end, to which the tRNAs corresponding amino acid is attached (by aminoacyl-tRNA synthetases). tRNAs cope with the degeneracy of the genetic code in two manners: having more than one tRNA (with a specific anti-codon) for a particular amino acid; and 'wobble' base-pairing, i.e. permitting non-standard base-pairing at the 3rd anti-codon position.
Source: Rfam
GGAGAAGUACCCAAGUGGCUGAAGGGGCUCCCCUGCUAAGGGAGUAGGUCGUGUAAGCGGCGCGAGGGUUCAAAUCCCUCCUUCUCCG